Long non-coding RNA from Triticum urartu, 383 nucleotides. RefSeq lists it as uncharacterized. The record is from RefSeq and is a predicted model, not a curated record. Lineage: Eukaryota; Viridiplantae; Streptophyta; Magnoliopsida; Poales; Poaceae.
UGCUUUUGUAUUUAUGGAAUUCUUUGUGGUGCACUAGAUGAAGUCAAGGGAACACCUGAUGAGACUUCGGCUAUUGCAACAACAGAAUGCCCACUUGCAGAGAAGGGAUCCAAAUCAACCGGCUCUUAAUGGUGCUAUGAACUUUGAUGUAUCAGUCAACAUGGCAGCCCUACAGCAGUAGUUUCAGUCAAGAAACCAGCAAGUUGCUGAUUGGAGCCAAUUUUUUUACUCUAAAAGCCUAUCUUUUGAUACCAUUGUCUAAGAACAAUCAGAUCAUCAUUUCACCAUCUUCGGCCGCCCAAGGAUAUUUCAAACUACUUUUGCUGAUAUCAGGAGAAGGACCAUGACCAGACAAGCAAAAAUAUGCGACUGCCUGGGGCCGG